UUGAACGCUGGCGGUAUGCUUAAGACAUGCAAGUCGAACGGGGCCCUUCGGGGUUCAGUGGCGGACGGGUGGGUAACACGUGUGAAUCUGCCCAAUAGUGGGGGACAGCCCGGCGAAAGCCGGAUUAAUACCGCAUACGCCCUACGGGGGAAAGGCGCAAGCCGCUAUUGGAUGAGCCCGCGUAAGAUUAGCUAGUUGGUGAGGUAAAGGCCCACCAAGGCAACGAUCUUUAGCUGGUCUGAGAGGAUGGCCAGCCACAUCGGGACUGAGACACGGCCCGGACUCCUACGGGAGGCAGCAGUCGGGAAUAUUGGACAAUGGGCGCAAGCCUGAUCCAGCAAUACCGCGUGUGUGAAGAAGGCCUGCGGGUUGUAAAGCACUUUCAGUGGGGAAGAUAAUGACGUUACCCACAGAAGAAGCACCGGCUAACUCCGU
RNAcentral lists this ribosomal RNA (435 nucleotides) under uncultured bacterium. RNAcentral describes it as "bacterial SSU rRNA". It matches the Rfam family "Bacterial small subunit ribosomal RNA", at positions 30 to 506 of the family's 1533-position model. The record is from RNAcentral.